This 125-nucleotide small RNA is filed under the name Marmota monax (woodchuck). Lineage: Eukaryota; Metazoa; Chordata; Mammalia; Rodentia; Sciuridae. The record is from RNAcentral.
GCCAGGCGCACUGGCGCAUGCCUGUAAUCCCAGUGGCUUGGGAGGCUGAGGCAAGAGGAUCGCAUAUUCAAAGCCAACCUCAGCAAAAGCUAGGCACUAAGCAAAUUGGUGAGAUCCUGUCUCUA